RNAcentral lists this RNase P RNA (530 nucleotides) under Apis mellifera (honey bee). Its description in RNAcentral is "Nuclear RNase P". It matches the Rfam family "Nuclear RNase P". Rfam says of the family: Ribonuclease P (RNase P) is a ubiquitous endoribonuclease, found in archaea, bacteria and eukarya as well as chloroplasts and mitochondria. Its best characterised activity is the generation of mature 5'-ends of tRNAs by cleaving the 5'-leader elements of precursor-tRNAs. Cellular RNase Ps are ribonucleoproteins. The record is from Rfam by way of RNAcentral. Lineage: Eukaryota; Metazoa; Arthropoda; Insecta; Hymenoptera; Apidae.
GCCAGGGUCAAUCUAGCAGAGGGGGCACACACGGCCAAGGGUACCUAGUUACCGCGAUGCUCUGCCUCGGGAAGGUCUGAGAUAAAGUCGUCUCUCUUCGUUUUCGAAGGGAGGGACGCUCUAGAAGGGUGAUCUUGUAAAUAGGAUGCGAGGAAACCAGAAACAGCGGUGAACCAGCCUCUGUCGCCGUGGACGCCAAAUUUCUCUUCAUCCUUCCUCUCCUCCCCUUCUCCCUUUAAUGUUUGCCUCAUUUUCACGUUUCCUCUCCAACUUGGGUCCCUCUUAACCUUCUCUCUCUCUCUGUCUCCGCCUCCCUUAACCUCUCAUUCCUUGCGAGAUAAGGGUGCGGAGGAAACCUUGGCAGAGGUCGGCUGGUCAUACCGAUGGAAAUUCCCGCGACUCGCAAUUUCAGUACAAUCUGCAAGCCACCCCUCGGUGUGUCUACGUAUCCUCGUAUAUAUCCGUGGAAGGGACGUCUCGAAAGUGGAAGGAGAGGGGUGGAACUCAAUUCAGACUAAUCUGACUCUGGC